This 1442-nucleotide long non-coding RNA is filed under the name Homo sapiens (human). RNAcentral's name for it is "non-protein coding lnc-CRNKL1-6:1". Lineage: Eukaryota; Metazoa; Chordata; Mammalia; Primates; Hominidae. The record is from RNAcentral.
CUAAUUUGAUCUUUUCCAAACAUCCAUAAUUAUUUAAACCAAUAGAAAUGAGUGAGAUUCUAGGAGCAAUUUGAGUUUUUAAGAACUCUACUUGGAGAGGAUUGUCAAUAGGCUUCUUCAAGAACGUCAUAUUUUUGAAAAUUGCUUAGCAGAAUGAAGAUUCUGACAGCAUGUGAGGGUGGGCAUUGGAACUCUUCUAAAAGGAACGUGAAACCAAACAUGGAAUAUCAAGACAAAUGCUACUCCCUCCGCUUUUCAAAUUAUUAACAUCAGUAUUACAUUUCAUAGUGUUCAUGGUUUAAGGAAUUCAGUGUUGAGUGGGAAACAUUUUUAUACGUCUAUCAUGCCUAUCCUUAAGUGUGAUUUUUAAGUCUAGGCAUAAUGUUCUGUUUUAAUUCUUUGCAUAUCUUCUCAUAACGCUGAGUAGGAAUGAACUAGAUAUAAUCUUGAUUUGAACUGAAAUGUGGGGCAGUACAAUGAGGACAGAGCAUUUCAGCACCAUAGACAAGCACGUUUUCGGAAGCAUCUUCUAGCUUACAUACUGGCUUCGCUUUUGAGGAAUCCCUGUCCACUAUCUGUUACUACUUCUACAGAUGAAAACAUUUGUCAUUUGUUUACACUGUUAUGUUCUUGGGACAAGGGCGAUCAAACCCAGAUGAGCCAGCCAGCUUAAACUAAGAAAUUGAGGUGAAGUCUGUUCUUCCAAGCAACAAGCCAACUGGAAAAAUUGACCCUGAGCGGCUUAAGCUCCCACAGUGCACUUAGGACCCAAUCAGACCAUCUCUGGCCCUCAGUGUCAUCAAAGCAGGGCCUUGGGCUUGGGCUCACAUGCGUAUGCACAAUCUGAGGAAUUAGGGGCUCCUAGGUUUUCUUUGUAUCCUCACCACCAGGACUUUAUUAUUAAUGAAGAGGGAGCAUCACCUGAACACUGCAUUCAUUCUGCACUGUAUUGGUAGCAGCAAGCCAGAAAGCAGCAUGCAGCCCCCACUUCUAGAGGGAAAGCCCCAAAAUCAGCCUUUAAGUCUGAAGUAAAAGUGGGAGAUGCACUCGGUGGGAAUGGCCUGUGCCUGAAGCUUCCACUGUUGGAAAAUGCCCUCUGCUUCUGACUCUCCCCAUCCAGGUGCUGUUACCCAUCCGCCCAACAAGCCCUGCGGGGGUGGGUUGGCCAGGUGAACAGGCUUGCGUUCAGGAUGCGCCGUCAACCACACAUGGUGGUGUAGCUGCUAAUAUAUGAGCGCUCGGCAUUUUUCAAAGAGCUUUCAAAACAAAAUCUAUUUUCCUAAUGAGAAAAUAUUUUUAAAGACCAUCGUAUCUACCUUGUAUCUAUUCCAUCCAUUACUUGUAUUGAUAACACCUGACAUGUAAAGAUAUUUCAACUACUUUUUUACCUAGCACUAUAGUUUACCUUCCUUUUUUGACCAGCAUUAAAUAAUCUAAAAUGU